RNAcentral lists this ribosomal RNA (422 nucleotides) under uncultured bacterium. RNAcentral's name for it is "bacterial SSU rRNA". It matches the Rfam family "Bacterial small subunit ribosomal RNA", at positions 355 to 774 of the family's 1533-position model. The record is from RNAcentral.
UAAGGAAUAUUGGUCAAUGGACGCAAGUCUGAACCAGCCAUGCCGCGUGGAGGAUGAAGGUCCUCUGGAUUGUAAACUUCUUUUAUCUGGGGCGAAAAAGGGCCUUUUUAGAUCAACUGACGGUACCCUAGGAAUAAGCACCGGCUAACUCCGUGCCAGCAGCCGCGGUAAUACGGUGGGUGCAAGCGUUAUCCGGAUUCACUGGGUUUAAAGGGUGCGUAGGUGGGUUAGUAAGUCAGUGGUGAAAUCUUCGAGCUUAACUCGGAAACUGCCAUUGAUACUAUUAGUCUUGAAUAUUGUGGAGGUUAGCGGAAUAUGUCAUGUAGCGGUGAAAUGCUUAGAUAUGACAUAGAACACCAAUUGCGAAGGCAGCUGGCUACACAUAUAUUGACACUGAGGCACGAAAGCGUGGGGAUCAAACA